RNAcentral lists this transfer RNA (215 nucleotides) under Barleria cristata. RNAcentral describes it as "partial tRNA-His". Lineage: Eukaryota; Viridiplantae; Streptophyta; Magnoliopsida; Lamiales; Acanthaceae. The record is from RNAcentral.
GAAAGGGAGGUCAUUCUAUUCUUAAGGUUUGAUUAAUGAUUGAGUAGUAUUUCUUCCUUCUCUAUGAAUUAUCUAUCUAAUAUCUUAGCAAUAAGUUUAUUCUUUGAAAGAUAAGAAUAUCUCAGAAAAGAGAAAGAAGAAAAAUUAAAUGAUUGAAAUUCAAUCUUUUGUUUUACAGUUUAUAAGAAAAAAUUCAAAAAUUGAAAAAAAUCCUA